AGACCAGACUCCUACGGGAGGCAGCAGUGAGGGAUAUUGGGCAAUGGGGGAAACCCUGACCCAGCGACGCCGCGUGAGGGAAGACGGUCUUCGGAUUGUAAACCUCUGUCUUUGGGGACGAAAAAGGACGGUACCCAAGGAGGAAGCUCCGGCUAACUACGUGCCAGCAGCCGCGGUAAUACGUAGGGAGCGAGCGUUGUCCGGAAUUACUGGGUGUAGAGGGCGUGCAGCCGGGAAGACAAGUCAGAUGUGAAAUCCCGCGGCUCAACCGCGGAACUGCAUUUGAAACUGUUUUUCUUGAGUACCGGAGAGGUCAUCGGAAUUCCUUGUGUAGCGUUGAAAUGCGUAGAUAUAAGGAAGAACACCAGUGGCGAAGGCGGAUGACUGGACGGCAACUGACGGUGAGGCGCGAAAGCGUGGGGAGCAAACAGGAUUAGAUACCCGCGUAUG
This 450-nucleotide ribosomal RNA is filed under the name uncultured bacterium. Its description in RNAcentral is "bacterial SSU rRNA". It matches the Rfam family "Bacterial small subunit ribosomal RNA", at positions 328 to 793 of the family's 1533-position model. The record is from RNAcentral.